RNAcentral lists this ribosomal RNA (583 nucleotides) under uncultured bacterium. RNAcentral describes it as "bacterial SSU rRNA". It matches the Rfam family "Bacterial small subunit ribosomal RNA", at positions 331 to 929 of the family's 1533-position model. The record is from RNAcentral.
CCAGACUCCUACGGGAGGCAGCAGUGGGGAAUAUUGGACAAUGGGGGCAACCCUGAUCCAGCGACGCCGCGUGAGUGAAGAAGUAUUUCGGUAUGUAAAGCUCUAUCGAUAACGGAAGAAGAUGACAAGCCGUUAAGGAAGAAGCCCCGGCUAACUACGUGCCAGCAGCCGCGGUAAUACGUAGGGGGCAAGCGUUAUCCGGAUUUACUGGGUGUAAAGGGAGCGCAGACGGCCAAGCAAGUCUGAAGUGAAAUGCGUGGGCUCAACCCAUGAAUUGCUUUGGAAACUGUUAGGCUUGAGUGUCGGAGGGGUAAGCGGAAUUCCUAGUGUAGCGGUGAAAUGCGUAGAUAUUAGGAGGAACACCGGAGGCGAAGGCGGCUUACUGGACGACAACUGACGUUGAGGCUCGAAGGCGUGGGGAGCAAACAGGAUUAGAUACCCUGGUAGUCCACGCAGUAAACGAUGAAUACUUGGUGUCGGGGAGUAAACUCUUCGGUGCCGCAAGCAAACGCAUUAAGUAUUCCACCUGGGGAGUACGUUCGCAAGAAUGAAACUCAAAGGAAUUGACGGGGGCCCGCACAAG